UGGGGAAUUUUGGACAAUGGGGGCAACCCUGAUCCAGCCAUGCCGCGUGAGUGAAGAAGGCCUUCGGGUUGUAAAGCUCUUUCGGCGGGGAAGAAAACGCAUUCUCUAAUACAGGGUGUGGAUGACGGUACCCGCAUAAGAAGCACCGGCUAACUACGUGCCAGCAGCCGCGGUAAUACGUAGGGUGCGAGCGUUAAUCGGAAUUACUGGGCGUAAAGCGUGCGCAGGCGGUUUUGUAAGACAGGCGUGAAAUCCCCGGGCUCAACCUGGGAAUGGCGCUUGUGACUGCAAGGCUAGAGUACGGCAGAGGGGGGUAGAAUUCCACGUGUAGCAGUGAAAUGCGUAGAGAUGUGGAGGAAUACCGAUGGCGAAGGCAGCCCCCUGGGCCGAUACUGACGC
This 399-nucleotide ribosomal RNA is filed under the name uncultured bacterium. Its description in RNAcentral is "bacterial SSU rRNA". It matches the Rfam family "Bacterial small subunit ribosomal RNA", at positions 355 to 746 of the family's 1533-position model. The record is from RNAcentral.